RNAcentral lists this long non-coding RNA (2966 nucleotides) under Mytilus galloprovincialis (Mediterranean mussel). The record is from RNAcentral. Lineage: Eukaryota; Metazoa; Mollusca; Bivalvia; Mytilida; Mytilidae.
AGGGAUGUUAAUUAACUAAAGUAGGCACUUAACUGAUAUUGACAAUAAUAAUAAAUAAUAAUAUAAACAAUCCACAAUUGUAAUAUUUUGUAUGAAAUGACUUCUUAUCUAUAGUCACUGUCAUAAUCAUGUAAAAUUGACAUUGAUUUGUGUCGAAAUUUUUUUUAAAUAUCAGUCGCAUUCACUUUCCAAUAGCGGAAGAAAACGCCAUUCCAAAUAUCCACAACUGUCCUACCUUUUAUUGUGUUUGCACUGUAUAAUCUUGACCUUCACAUAAUCCAAGAUUAGUUUGACAUUGUUAUUACCGGAAAUGUUGCCGUGGAGUUCCACCUGCUGUCUAUUAUCUCGUGUCUCUCGGAGCUGUUCAUAAUCUCUAUGCAAAAAAGCGCAGGAAAAUGUAUCAUCAAUGACAACGAUAUCACCGGAGAGUAACAAAUGUUAUGAAAUAAAAGAUCCUCAUUGAAACCAAGAUGGCGGUUAUACAAUGUAAAUAAUCUUGAAAAUGUGAAGGUUAGGAUUAUAUAGUGCAAACACAAUAAAAGGUAGGACAGUAGUGGAUAUUUGGAUAGGAUUUUUUCCUGCUAAUUGAAAAAUAUCAUCUCAAGUAAACGUGACAAAUAAUUUUUUUUUUUUUUUUUACAUAAAUCAUUGUGCCAAUUUUUCAUGACGGCGACUAUAUAUACGAGACACACAUUUCAUAAUUGAUGAUUCAUGUAUCCUUUGUCCCCUACUUAUUUAAACAAACCAAAAUCUAUUCUUGAAACUUUUAAAACAUUAUAAAUGUCCUAUUUUUGUUUUAACAUUAGGAUGUCCUAUUUCUUAGAACUAGAUUUAUAUGGCACAAAAUGAAACACAACCUUUCUAGAAACACCCUUCUGACUAUUAAAUUGUAUUUGCUAGACAAAUAUGAUUAAAAAUUUAAAUCUAUGUAUUUGAUGUAUAACUCACAGGUUUUUUUCUCACUGAAAUUCAAUUUUAUCUGAAGCUUUCACCUAAUAACUUUUGAAAAAAUAAAAUUUUGUGAAUUCUAUUAUUUUCAAAAGAUAAAACAUGUAUUUACAUUUAUAUACUGACCGACUUUAGAAACGCAACACUAGAUUAUUUUUGUGUUAUUUUUGAAUGAAUGUGUCAACGUCAAAAGCAAUGACUGCCUGUUACAAACGCCAAAAUGAUUGUCAGAAAGGUCAACAAAUUCUGUCUGACAUGUUUUGGGUUCUGUUUUACACCUUCUGAUUUUGUAUUUGUUCAACCCAUUAAUUGGUUUUGGCAAUUAUGCGGUUGGAACUUGAGGGCUUUACAGGUUUUCCUGCAGUCAAUUCUUUGGCAAUGCAGUUCAUGGGAAACAUUUAUGGCAUGAAUCUGUACUCAAUGGCACUCGGCAGUUGACGUUGCGGCCGUAAACAUGAUUGGCAAAUGACGUUGCAUAAUCAAAUUCUGUUGAUGUUUCAUUGUCACUACACGUUGAUCUGUUGAUUGAUGGUUAGCAACAAAUCUUGUUUACUUGUAUCGUUGUCGGAAGGACAGUAGGACGAGUUUCUGAAGUCAUACGGUAUGGUUGCAGCACAUUUAUGUUUUCAUGUUUGCAGUAUUCUUAAGGGCUAAUUCAGUUCUUUGUUUUUUUUUAUUUCUCAGACUUGGCAAAAUGCAGAUGCAACAUUUUUAAAAAAAAUAAGUAAGGCAAAAGAUUGAAAGAACUGUUUCACAAAGCAAAAAAAAACUGAAACAAUCUUUCAUGGGACCAAGAUUUCGCUUUACGAAAUUUGUGCGACUUCAAAAAUUCGGUAUGUUCAAUAACCACAGGUAAGUCAGAUUUUGAUUUUUUGUAAGGAGAAAGUAGCAUGAUAAGCAUGAAAAGUAGUUGUAAGAGAAUCAAAAAAGAUUUGGUAAAAAAAAUCAACAAAAUAAGUGUUGCGUUUCUAAAGUCGUUCAGUAUAAUUGAAUUAUAACUGUAUAUUGCAAUAAAUGACAAUCACAAUAAAAAUAAGGAGAUGUGGCAUGACUGACAAUGAGACAAGUGUCCAUAAAGGAUAAAGGUCGAGGAAAAAUAUGUGAAUAAUCACAGAUCAGCAUAUGACCUUCAACAAUGAGCAAAACCCAUAUUGUACAUGGUCAAUACAGUAAACAAAACCUGAGCACCAUUAUAAAUUAAGCACCUUAUCUGUGUCUAUCAAUUAUUACAUCAUCUUGACAUUUCCAAGAAAUAUAUUAAUACAAUUAUAAAAUAUACAAAGCUUUAUACAUAAAAAAUAGAAGAAAGAAAAUGUCCAUAGGAUACAGAUGCUACUGCAUGUAAAAGUGAGGCAAAUUCAGCAAUAUUUCCAUUUAUAGAGAGACAUGAUUUUUAACAGAAUCGUGGAAGUCACCAUACCCAAUUUUAACUUGAUCUGUGUUUGGUGAAACAAGCCUUGUGGUUAACUUUUAUAAAAUUUGGUUCAGGCAAACUAAAGUGAACUAAAAACCAAUUUUGUGUCAAGGGUAAAACUUAAUACCUAUCCCUUGGCAGCAAAGCAUUACAUAUUACAGACUUAGUAUUAAUAAAGCUAGAAUAAUAAAAGCUAUGAUAAAAAAAAAUGUCAUGCACAUACUUAGUUGUUAAGGCCCUGUUCCUUUCAGAGUCAACAGUUUUCAGAACAUUAAUGCCAAAUGAAUUGAAACUGCCAUUUAUAUAAUUUAGUCAUAAUUUUAUUGACAAUGUCAAUAUUGGUCAGACAGCUUGUAAAUCUAUCUAUUGAGAUUUUAAAUUUAUCUCUUUUAAGCUUCUCAGCCUACAUAACCAAGGAUGCCAUGAUAAAAUAUGGGUUUUACUUCCAAUCUUUUAUUAUUGCAAUGGAUUCCACAUUUAUUAGCAAAAUCUGAUAGAACUAUAUCCUUAGCAUGAUACCACCAAAUUUCUUUGAAAUAAUAGUUUUCGAGACUUGAAAAAAAUAAAUUAAUCAUAACAGAAUUACGGCGUCAUAUAAUAUAAU